This is a long non-coding RNA of Oreochromis aureus, 226 nucleotides long. RefSeq lists it as uncharacterized. The record is from RefSeq and is a predicted model, not a curated record. Lineage: Eukaryota; Metazoa; Chordata; Actinopteri; Cichliformes; Cichlidae. The transcript has 2 exons.
CAUGUGACCAUCAGGUCAGAGUCUGCCUUCAUCCUCACACCUGCUGUGCUGCUGACACUGACAGCAGGCGCUCCUCCCUGAACUCAGGUCCCUCCUCUUCCUCCUGUAGAUGCAGCAGGUUCACUUCCUGUCUUCACUGAGCUCUGGGAUCACAGAUUUAUGGUUAAAGUAACAGGAAGUUAACAUGCUGUGGUAACAGAAGAUAUAAACACUUCACUCUGAGACU